Molecule: long non-coding RNA, 1536 nt
Filed under: Musa acuminata (dwarf banana)
Lineage: Eukaryota; Viridiplantae; Streptophyta; Magnoliopsida; Zingiberales; Musaceae
Description: long non-coding RNA (MACU_LNC006334)
Source: RNAcentral
CUGCAUUAGCAGAAAUAAUAGGAAUAGCCAAACAACAUUCAUUUCCUCAAAGCCCAAACAUGUGGACCAAAGAAGCAUUGGGAAAACUACAUUAUCAAAUUACAAGAGAGAAAGCACUGGGUCUUAAAUGCUGAUCACUGACUAACACAAAAGAAAACUAACAUGCUAAAAGAUGCCAUGUGAUACUUGUGCAAGCAAGUGCCAUCAAACCAAAAAUCCAAUGGCUGAUGAAAAUAAAACUUAGUAUGUACAUCACAUGUACAAUUAUCAUCAAUAUAUAUAGGUAUACGAGUUGACUAGGUUUGGGCAACAGAAAUGAUGUGAGAGGAGAUAAGAAACUCUCCUCCACCCCCGGUUUGCUUUCUAAGCCCGUGAAUCACUGGCAACAUCCGUUGAAGUAACUAAGAUUCAAUUGUGCAACAGUUUUCCUCAAUUUGAGCUUAACCAUGACAAAAAAAAAGGAAUCAUGUCUUAUACAAAUACUAGAUUUUUAUUGUAGUUUUCUUACCAAGGAUUUACUUAUUACAGAAUGCCCUGGUGCUUAUCCAAUAUUAGCAAGGUACACUUCAUACUAGACAUAUAGUGAAUAGCCAUGCCGAUCAUGUCUGCUGCUGCUAAUAUGUUAAGUGCAAUCACAUCAUAAUGUCCAAUUAUCCUUUAUUUUUUUUGUGAAGAAAAUGAAAAGAAUUCAAGUGGCCAACAACGAAUAGUAAUCAAUUAUAUAACAGUUUGUCGCCAACUCAAGUAUUCUGCCAUAAAAUCUAUUAAUUCAAAAAAAAUUCCUGUUAAUUUUUUGAAGUUUUAGUUUGAAACCAAAGAUAUUGACAUUCCUAAUCUUGCAUUCAAAAAAUAAAUUUCCAAUAUUCGUAAAAGAAAUAACAAGUUAGACACAGAUAACUGCUAGGAUGAUAAUAAUAAGUCAAUAUCAGAGAGGGUAAGAGAAAUUGCCUGGAAGCCUUAAAGGCUAUGAAGAGAUUAGUUUAUUAUAAGGUUGUUAAAACAUGAUACAUUGGUAAUUUGAUUGUUCUGAGAAAACUGAAGUAUCUGGUAACAUAUGCAUCAUAUGGAUGUGGUCAAGUGGCUCCCUUGUACAUAUUACAUAAGUCUUAUUCAACGUAGCUGCAGAAACAUUUACCUACUGCAGUCACUAAUUUGAACAUUAAUCACAUGCACUAAAGACCCUUAACACUCAGCAUUCCUAUAUCAUAUCCUACAUUACUGCUUUGCAUGAAACGACAGCAUUGACACUAUUUGUUCAAAUUGUAUUUUAGGCACACAUGUCAAAACUCCACACACUAGCCCAUAGAAUGACAUUGACAUGAACAUCAUGUAAUAAUAGUAAGCAAAGAGCCAGAGGCUAUAUAUUUCACAUUGCAUUAGAGGUGACAAAAUAAGCAUUUUGAUGGACAACAUAUAAGCAUUCAACAAAGGUAAAGCAUCAGCAAACGUAUACAUCAUAUACAAUAUAUGACAAGCAUGAUCUUAUGACUAACUUCCGCAUUGUGUCGAUAUCAUUGCUAGAUAGAUUUUGGGCUG